UUGAGCUAAAAAUACCUCACAUUCUCCACUGGUGUUGCCGAGCCAUACCUUCUGCAGACUUCAAAGCACAGCAUUCUGCCUUGGAGAAAAAGGAAGCUGAGUUUCAGGUCUCCCAAAGCGAAAGAGGAGCAACUGUUAAAGAAAGCCUAUGGUGAGGAAGGUGGAGAUGACAUUGAUUUUGAUUGCCAUCAGCUUAGUUCUGAUGAAUCACUCGGGUGACACAAAACCGAUGAAGAUUCUUCUGCAAAUCGUUCUUCAAUUUCUGAAUUUGGGGACGACAAUUUCUCCAUUGGCAGCUUGGAACA
This is a long non-coding RNA of Hibiscus syriacus, 305 nucleotides long. RefSeq lists it as uncharacterized. The record is from RefSeq and is a predicted model, not a curated record. The transcript is spliced from 2 exons. NCBI's taxonomy places the organism in Eukaryota, Viridiplantae, Streptophyta, Magnoliopsida, Malvales, Malvaceae.